RNAcentral lists this ribosomal RNA (388 nucleotides) under uncultured bacterium. RNAcentral describes it as "bacterial SSU rRNA". It matches the Rfam family "Bacterial small subunit ribosomal RNA", at positions 28 to 417 of the family's 1533-position model. The record is from RNAcentral.
GACGAACGCUGGCGGCGUGCUUAACACAUGCAAGUCGAGCGGUAAGGCCCUUUCGGGGGUACACGAGCGGCGAACGGGUGAGUAACACGUGGGUGACCUGCCCUCAGCUCUGGGAUAAGCCUGGGAAACCGGGUCUAAUACCGGAUAUGACUCCAUGACGCAUGUUGUGGGGUGGAAAGCCUUGCGCGGCUGAGGAUGGGCCCGCGGCCUAUCAGCUUGUUGGUGGGGUGAUGGCCUACCAAGGCGACGACGGGUAGCCGGCCUGAGAGGGCGACCGGCCACACUGGGACUGAGACACGGCCCAGACUCCUACGGGAGGCAGCAGUGGGGAAUCUUGCGCAAUGGGCGAAAGCCUGACGCAGCGACGCCGCGUGAGGGAUGACGGCCU